AGGAGGGGUUGCGUUGCGUGUGUUCUUGGAUGGAAUCUCUGCUCUCUCUGGGAGAGGCUGAGCCGGCAGCUUCCCGCCACCACCUGCAGUCGUAAAUCUGGACUCAGGUGGAUUCUUUACCAACUGAGCUAUGAGGGAAGUGGAAGCCCUGGUCAGAUAAAGCCUGGCACCUCUCCUCAGGAGCAGAGCAGGCCUGAAAGUCUGGGAAGAGGCAUCACAAGCCAGGGUUGCCACCUUCUGCCCCGGAUGAAACCAAGCUAACUUCCUCUCUGACCAGGUGGUUAAACAGCGCUAGAUCCAAACAUACAUAUGUACUACAGGAGGCCAUGGAGGCCGUUGGCUCAGCCUCACCCACAGAGAACACAGGUUCUGUCAGAAACCCCUGCUGCUCCUGGAG
This is a long non-coding RNA of Bos taurus (domestic cattle), 397 nucleotides long. Lineage: Eukaryota; Metazoa; Chordata; Mammalia; Artiodactyla; Bovidae. The record is from Ensembl.